UUUUGGACAAUGGGGGCAACCCUGAUCCAGCAAUGCCGCGUGAGUGAAGAAGGCCUUCGGGUUGUAAAGCUCUUUUGUCAGGGAAGAAACACCGGCUCUAACACAGUCCGGGAAUGACGGUACCUGAAGAAUAAGCACCGGCUAACUACGUGCCAGCAGCCGCGGUAAUACGUAGGGUGCAAGCGUUAAUCGGAAUUACUGGGCGUAAAGCGUGCGCAGGCGGUUAUACAAGACUGGCGUGAAAUCCCCGGGCUUAACCUGGGAAUGGCGCCUGUGACUGUAUAGCUAGAGUGUGUCAGAGGGGGGUAGAAUUCCACGUGUAGCAGUGAAAUGCGUAGAUAUGUGGAGGAAUACCAAUGGCGAAGGCAGCCCCCUGGGAUAACACUGACGCUCAUGCACGAA
This 402-nucleotide ribosomal RNA is filed under the name uncultured bacterium. Its description in RNAcentral is "bacterial SSU rRNA". It matches the Rfam family "Bacterial small subunit ribosomal RNA", at positions 362 to 757 of the family's 1533-position model. The record is from RNAcentral.